This is a long non-coding RNA of Pistacia vera, 910 nucleotides long. RefSeq lists it as uncharacterized. The transcript has 4 exons. Lineage: Eukaryota; Viridiplantae; Streptophyta; Magnoliopsida; Sapindales; Anacardiaceae. The record is from RefSeq and is a predicted model, not a curated record.
UUAUUAAUUACAGCAAUUCUUCUGAUGUUUCUCACUCCCCUUGCUUUGAUCAAAUCCCACUUAUUCGACUAGACCUGCUGUUGAUCGUCUAGUCAUCAUCGUUCUUGAUGCCCUCAGGUAUUUCUUCAAUUCACUCUCUCGCUUCUAUUUUUCUAACCUAAUGUUUUCUUUUUUCAGAUUUGAUUUCGUUGAUCCCACUCCCAGUUCAUUUUUUCAAAGGUCCAUUCAACUGCAUUUUCCAAUGGAGGUACUUUUAGUUUAUUUUUCAUGUAUUACUCAGACACUGUUGUAGCUAAAAGCCCUUUUUGUUGUAGUGAUAGCUUCGGUGCUCCAGCCAUUGUUGAGGAUAACUUCAUACAUCAGUUGGAAAGCGGCUAGUGAUGAUGGGGGGGUACAGUUGUUUCCUAAUCAUUUCAAAAAAUCUUAUCCUUGCCCUCUUUCAAUGUUAAAGAUCUUCAUACGGUGGGCAAUGUAUGUAUUGAGCACCUAUUUCUGUCUUUGUAUGAAGAAGAUUGGGAUGUCCUUAUUGCACAUUUUCUUGGUGUGGCUGUAUCGGAGAAUUUAGUUUUAAUUAUUUUGCUUCAGAAAGUGAUAAGAAGCCAGUCAGAACCAGGUGGCAUACAUGAGAAUACUUUCCUUCUUGUGAUGGGUGAUCAUGGUGGGGGUACUGCUGAUUCUAUAACGCCUAUUUUCUUCAUCUGUUGUCCUCAUUGUUUUCUUUCUAGUAUAGAAAUAUGAGAUAGUUUCCAAUUAAACUGAGGAAAGAACAAGCAUAUAUAUAGUCAUUAGAAAUACAAGCAUAAUACCAAAUUUAUUUCACAAGAUGAAGAAUCAAGUUCAAAUGGUAUGGAGGAUGGAGGCUGUUUAAAGCUCAUACCGAAAAUUGAUGCAACAUACCAUUCAAGUUAGA